GCAGCGCCGCCUGCCUCAGCUCUUGGCUUUCCAGCCUUCGUCUUUGUUUGCGUUCUCCUGCUUCAUCACUCUCUUCUACUCCGUCCUUAGGGUUUACUUUUCUUUGACAAAAUGGCAGAAACUUUGGUACUUCGCGGGACGUUGAAGGGUCACGCCAAUUGGGUGACGGCCAUCGCCUGCCCGCUCGACAACCCCGACCUCAUCCUUUCGUCGUCUCGUGACAAGAGUAUCAUCGUCUGGCACCUCUCUCGCGAGGAGGGCAACUACGGUGUCGCCCGCCGCCGUUUGACUGGCCACGCUCACUUCGUUCAAGAUGUCGUGAUUUCCUCUGACGGACAGUUUGCUUUGUCUGGAUCAUGGGACGGAACCCUCCGCUUGUGGGACUUGAACACCGGAACCACCACCCGGCGGUUCAUUGGCCACACCAAGGAUGUGCUCAGUGUGGCUUUCUCUGUUGAUAACAGGCAGAUUGUGUCUGGCUCCCGUGACAAAACUAUCAAGUUGUGGAACACUCUCGGUGAGUGCAAGUAUACCAUCCAGGACGUAGACGCCCACACUGGCUGGGUCAGUUGUGUGCGUUUCUCCCCUGUGACGGCCAACCCUAUUAUCGUGUCUGGAGGGUGGGACAAGGUCGUGAAGGUGUGGAACCUGACCAACUGCAAGAUUCGUACUAACUUGGUUGGACACACCGGAUACGUUAAUACUGUUACUGUGUCUCCUGAUGGUUCCUUGUGCGCUAGCGGUGGCAAGGACGGAGUUGCCAUGUUGUGGGACUUGGCCGAGGGCAAGAGGUUGUACUCUUUGGAUGCUGGCGACAUCAUCCACUCCCUAUGUUUCAGCCCCAACAGGUACUGGCUGUGUGCUGCCACUCAGACCUGUAUCAAGAUCUGGGACUUGGAGAGCAAGAGCGUCGUCGACGAGCUGCGCCCCGAGUUCACCUUCGUCAGCAAGAAGGCCCAGAUUCCCUACUGUGUGAGUCUGAACUGGAGUGCCGACGGCAGCACCCUGUUCAGCGGCUACACCGAUGGUCACAUUAGAGUGUGGGCUGUUGGACGGGCUUAGAUUUUGCCCCCUUCGUCUAUGAAUUCGUGAACUGCACACCAGAUGUUCACAAAUCUGAAACCGGGUUCC
Molecule: long non-coding RNA, 1131 nt
Filed under: Physcomitrium patens
Lineage: Eukaryota; Viridiplantae; Streptophyta; Bryopsida; Funariales; Funariaceae
Description: long non-coding RNA (PPAT_LNC009714)
Source: RNAcentral